AUAGUCACAUUUCUUCCCUGCUGUAGAAACCUCUAUUUUUAGUUGUUCAGGGAGAUGGAUUUGAAACUGAUCUUCCAUUUCCUUGGCUGCAGCACUCGAUGAAAGCCUUCUUCUUUGGCAAUACUCAUUGUGUCAGUCAUUGGCUUUCUGUGUCAGGGAACAGCAGGACCUAGAUCGAACCCCUGGCAUUUCAGGCACACUCUUGCCUCAGUCUCAGAGGUGGUCUCCUGCAUGCUGUAUCUCUGCAGAGUGAUUUUUGUCUCUCAUCUGACCCACCAUAGUUCUUUUCUUUCUUCAACAAACAGUUAUUGAACUCCUAUUUACCAAGUGCAUUCCUAGAAAAUAAACAAGACAAUGGAAGCUUCAGGGAUCUCAGAGUUUUAAGAGGACUCAGAAGCUGUAGGAAUAUUCAGGCACAGACACCAGACCCAGCUUCAUCUCUAACUUGUGGCAAAGGACAGUACAUCCUGGGAUGGGACCCUAUGCUCCCCUAUGCCAUUUAGACAGAGCCUGGGGAGAGUGACUUCCCAGGGUAUCCAUGUUGGAAUCUCUCAUUUGAUUCUUAUUCAAAUUUAGGUUCUGUCAAUAGAAGAUACUAAAGAAAGAAAGCCAGGAGAAGAAAAGGGACUUCUUUCUUCAAGGUCUAAGCUGUUCUAAUAGCAUUAUUCUGGGAAUGGCAUCUUCCACUCCUCCUAGUACAAAGAACCUGCUUCCUCAUACCCCGUCAAGGAACUGCAGCAUCCAGGUGAUGGCCACAGUGGCAGAACCUAGGAAGCCAAGAAGAAACCAGAGAAUGGAGACACAUGGCAGCAAUGGCAAGUCAUCAGACCCAGGAUUUCCCAAAGAACACUGGUCCAGGAAGAUGCUCUGUGAAAAAGUGUUCCCUGGUCGGAGAAAUUUGUGAAACACUUUGCAUAAUACUUAAAAGAAUGUAUGGCACAUCAAAGGUAAUAUGCAAUAAAAGAAUUCAUUUUUUUAAAA
Homo sapiens (human) is the source of this 981-nucleotide long non-coding RNA. Ensembl annotates it as long intergenic non-protein coding RNA 1905. The record is from Ensembl. Lineage: Eukaryota; Metazoa; Chordata; Mammalia; Primates; Hominidae.